GCUCCUGUGGCACAGUGGAUCAGUGUUUCAGGCUGUUAACCAGAAGGUUGAUGGUUCGAGCUCCCCCAGGGAUG
Podarcis lilfordi (Lilford's wall lizard) is the source of this 74-nucleotide non-coding RNA. NCBI's taxonomy places the organism in Eukaryota, Metazoa, Chordata, Lepidosauria, Squamata, Lacertidae. The record is from the annotation of a GenBank genome assembly.